GAGACACUAGUAAAACUGAUAUUAUACUGCCUUGUCAAGGCAAAGUUGCGGGUUAAACUCCCACGUGUCUUA
RNAcentral lists this transfer RNA (72 nucleotides) under Zalieutes elater. RNAcentral's name for it is "tRNA-Asp". It matches the Rfam family "tRNA". From Rfam's summary of the family: Transfer RNA (tRNA) molecules are approximately 80 nucleotides in length. Their secondary structure includes four short double-helical elements and three loops (D, anti-codon, and T loops). Lineage: Eukaryota; Metazoa; Chordata; Actinopteri; Lophiiformes; Ogcocephalidae. The record is from RNAcentral.